Molecule: ribosomal RNA, 584 nt
Filed under: Saccharomyces cerevisiae (brewer's yeast)
Lineage: Eukaryota; Fungi; Ascomycota; Saccharomycetes; Saccharomycetales; Saccharomycetaceae
Description: eukaryotic LSU rRNA
Rfam family: Eukaryotic large subunit ribosomal RNA
Source: RNAcentral
CGGUAUGCCUUAGUACGGCGAGUGAGCGGCUAAGCUCAAUUUGAAAUCUGGUACCUUCGGUGCCCGAGUUGUAAUUUGGAGAGGGCAACUUUGGGGCCGUUCCUUGUCUAUGUUCCUUGGAACAGGACGUCAUAGAGGGUGAGAAUCCCGUGUGGCGAGGAGUGCGGUUCUUUGUAAAGUGCCUUCGAAGAGUCGAGUUGUUUGGGAAUGCAGCUCUAAGUGGGUGGUAAAUUCCAUCUAAAGCUAAAUAUUGGCGAGAGACCGAUAGCGAACAAGUACAGUGAUGGAAAGAUGAAAAGAACUUUGAAAAGAGAGUGAAAAAGUACGUGAAAUUGUUGAAAGGGAAGGGCAUUUGAUCAGACAUGGUGUUUUGUGCCCUCUGCUCCUUGUGGGUAGGGGAAUCUCGCAUUUCACUGGGCCAGCAUCAGUUUUGGUGGCAGGAUAAAUCCAUAGGAAUGUAGCUUGCCUCGGUAAGUAUUAUAGCCUGUGGGAAUACUGCCAGCUGGGACUGAGGACUGCGACGUAAGUCAAGGAUGCUGGCAUAAUGGUUAUAUGCCGCCCGUCUUGAAAAACCCGGAACCAAA